Molecule: non-coding RNA, 2467 nt
Organism: Leptonychotes weddellii (Weddell seal)
Lineage: Eukaryota; Metazoa; Chordata; Mammalia; Carnivora; Phocidae
Source: RefSeq, a predicted model, not a curated record
UCAACCCCAGACACAACCUUUAGAUGCGCAACAGUCGUUAGCUCCUGUCAACUGAGCGUUCACAGUGUCCCUGGCUCUGUGUGGAGCACGUUACGUGCCUUUGUUAUUUGGUUGUAGUGGGGUGAACGGUGGCUCCUGAAAGACGUGUCCAUGUCCUAGUCUCUGGAACCUGUGACUAUGACCGAAUUUGGAAGAGGACUUUGCAGAUGUAAUUAAGCAAAGAAUCUCAAGAUCGUGCUGGAUUAUUCAGGUGGCCCCUGUGUCCGAUGUCAAGAGUCCUUAUAAAAGACACCCAGAGGAGAGAUGUGAAGCAGCCCAUGUGAAGAGACGGGCAGAGCCUGGAGUGAUGCAGCCACAAGCCAAGGAGCCCCUACAGCCACCAGGGGCUGGAAGACUCAAGGAAGUCUUCUCUUUUAGAGCCUUCAAAUGGAGCAUGGCCCUGCUGACACCUUGAUUUUGGAUUUCUGGCCUCCAGAACGAACCAAAACGAAGCUCUGGUGUGCAGAUCAUAAAAGAGAAGGGGCGGAAGGCAGGAGACACGGUGAGCAUUGGAGAAGGGGGCAGCUUCGGGACGAUGGGGCUGUGCUUUGAAGGCCGGAAGCGCUCAGACAGGUGGAGAUGGGGCAGAAGAGAUGAACCAGCGCCAGGUGUGGUGUAGCAAGGGCCUGGGGGACAGAAAGGAGGCCCGGAGCCAGGCUGGGGAAGGAGACCCAGCUCUGCUCCACCGCCUCCCUUCUCCCAAAGCCAGCCUCCCCCCCACCGCAUUAACAACCUUGCCGACCUGAGCCAUCAAAGACAUGCCCUGCCUUCUUCAUCCAUCAAAGGUGCCGUGGAAGCCCCCAGGUAGCUGAGAAGUUGAUGGAAUCUUCUUACUGGUCCAACUUACCUUACUGGUGUGAGGUAAAGGGUCUGAGUCUGGAAUAUCUGAACUGGGUCUCAGUUCCUGCUCUGCUGGUGGAGGAAAAACUGUGUAAGAGCAGCUCCUGAAAGGCAAGAUGCUUUAAAAAGAAGAAGGAAAAAAAAAAAAAAAGGAAGCCAUGUAUUUGCUUGGAAUUUGUUUUUGCUUGCUCAGGAUCUUGUAGCAAGAAUAGAUUGGGAGUCAGAAAUCCUUGGGUCCAAAGGUCACAUCUACUGGUUCAACCUGACUACUUUGAGUCUCAGUUGCCUCUUUGUAAAAUGGCAUCACAAACAGGCCCUAUGUCACCAGGCUGCUGUAAGGAUUAAAUGAGCUCUUGUGUGAAGCACCAAGCUUGGGGUGUGCAAAGCAAACAGUGAUUCUCUCCCUGCUCUCUUUGAAUUUAUGGUAUGUGCUAAAUGGAUGUGCUUCCAAGGGGCACUUAAGGGAUGGGUUAUCACUUCUCAUUGCAGUCAACUGGCUGAAACACUCACUUUUUCAUCUUGAUAUGUGAGAUGUGACAUUCUGAUCCUCUGAAUUGUAAACUUAGAAUCUCAGAGAGCUCAGGAUGGCUGAAUCCAACUCCAUCAUUUUAGUGAUGGGGACAGUGACUUGCCUAAGGUCACCCACUGGGCUGGUGGCAGAGCUGGGGCGAGAACCCAGGUCUGCUGACUCCCAGCCCACUGCUUUGUCAUCCCAGGUGAGAAGGAGCCACGGGAAGGAAAGACCACAGGGAUACUGCCUUGAUCCAACCUCGCCAUGAUUCCAACAUCUGAGAGGAGGAUAGAGUGAAGGUUUCGCCCAAGGAGGCCCACUCUGCUCUGUGAACCCCAUCCUGUGGGGGUCACAUGUUGGGGGUGGAUGGGGCCUCCGCGAUAGGACUGAGAUCUCAGGAGCUGGGACCAGUCCUGCCAUUGCCGAGUCAGAGGAGGAGCCCGGGGUUCUACUGCAGGCAUCAAGGGGUAAGGCGAUAGCCCAACUUGGCGUUGAUUGCUGCUUCUUACCGGCUGUGUGACCUGAGCAGGGAAUUGCGCUCCCUGAACCUGUUACCUUAUCUGAGAACCAAGAAGAAUCUAAGUGUGUACCUCAUAGGUUAUGGUAAAGAUUAAAUAAGUUAAUAUAAUCAUAAUAAUAAUGGCCAACAUUAACCCACAUGUACCAUGUGCCAGCUUGGGUUGUAAACUAUAUGUAUUUGCUCAUUAAUCUUCAUACCCCUUGUAUUUUGCUGCUGGGGAAACAGAGGCUCAGAAUGGUGACGCAGAAGCCGGGGACACAAAAUCAGAGAGGACAGUGCCAGGUUUGAACCGAGUAGACUGGCUUUGGUAUCCUGUGCCUGACCACUCUGCCCUUGGACCUCUCUAUUUAGGCAAAACCUGGUGCUCUAAAAAUGCCCAGCCCGCUACCCUUUUCCCUUACCUUCCUCACCUAUGCCCUUUUGUCCCAAAGUGUGCAUUCCAGAAACUGUGUGCUGUCAUUUCUCAGAUACCGGAAGUCCACACGAAGAGUUUACAACCCAGCCUGGCACAUAGGUUCACAUAGAUUCACCUUAAAUUAUUUUUCUUCUCAGUUUUG